This 255-nucleotide long non-coding RNA is filed under the name Musa acuminata (dwarf banana). RNAcentral describes it as "long non-coding RNA (MACU_LNC010183)". Lineage: Eukaryota; Viridiplantae; Streptophyta; Magnoliopsida; Zingiberales; Musaceae. The record is from RNAcentral.
UCUAAUCAAACUUGUGAUUGGUCUCAAAAACAGCAAUUGGGGACCUUCAUUGAGGGCUUGAAGCUGGAGAUCCGGGGAGAAGUUAAAGCACGACAACCGUACACACUUAUGGCAGCCAUCUCUUUCGCACGAUUUCAAGAGGAGCGAUUGAACCAUGAAGCCCGGAGGACUAGGGUUGCUCCCCAACGAGCAAUAUCGAAGCCCUCAACCCCCCUACUAUCAACCGAGUCCCUACACUAAAAAGUUUGACAAGAG